GAUGAACGCUGGCGGCGUGCCUAAUACAUGCAAGUCGAGCGGACGGACGAGAAGCUUGCUUCUCUGAUGUUAGCGGCGGACGGGUGAGUAACACGUGGAUAACCUACCUAUAAGACUGGGAUAACUUCGGGAAACCGUAGCUAAUACCGGAUAAUAUUUUGAACCGCAUGGUUCAAAAGUGAAAGACGGUCUUGCUGUCACUUAUAGAUGGAUCCGCGCUGCAUUAGCUAGUUGGUAAGGUAACGGCUUACCAAGGCAACGAUGCAUAGCCGACCUGAGAGGGUGAUCGGCCACACUGGAACUGAGACACGGUCCAGACUCCUACGGGAGGCAGCAGUAGGGAAUCUUCCGCAAUGGGCGAAAGCCUGACGGAGCAACGCCGCGUGAGUGAUGAAGGUCUUCGGAUCGUAAAACUCUAUUAUUAGGGAAGAACAUAUGUGUAAGUAACUGUGCACAUCUUGACGGUACCUAAUCAGAAAGCCACGGCUAACUACGUG
This 497-nucleotide ribosomal RNA is filed under the name uncultured bacterium. RNAcentral describes it as "partial 16S ribosomal RNA". It matches the Rfam family "Bacterial small subunit ribosomal RNA", at positions 28 to 507 of the family's 1533-position model. The record is from RNAcentral.